RNAcentral lists this ribosomal RNA (253 nucleotides) under uncultured bacterium. RNAcentral describes it as "partial 16S ribosomal RNA". It matches the Rfam family "Bacterial small subunit ribosomal RNA", at positions 524 to 776 of the family's 1533-position model. The record is from RNAcentral.
UACGAGGGGGGCAAAUGUUGUUCGGAAUCACUGGGCGUAAAGGGAGCGUAGGCGGGUUUUUAAGUCAGGUGUUUAAUCCCGGGGCCCAACCCCGGACCGGCACUUGAAACUGGGAAUCUUGAAUAGGGGAGAGGUCAGUGGAAUUGGAGGUGUAGCGGUGGAAUGCGCAGAUAUCGGGAGGAACACCGGUGGCGAAGGCGGUUCUCUGGGCCUGACCUGACGCUGAGGAGCGAAAGCGUGGGGAGCGAACAGG